Molecule: ribosomal RNA, 400 nt
Filed under: uncultured bacterium
Lineage: Bacteria
Description: bacterial SSU rRNA
Rfam family: Bacterial small subunit ribosomal RNA
Source: RNAcentral
UCGGGAAUAUUGGGCAAUGGAGGAAACUCUGACCCAGCAAUACCGCGUGAAGGAUGAAGGUUUUCGGAUUGUAAACUUCUGUUAUAAAGGAAGAAAAAAAUGACGGUACUUUAUAAGUAAGCCCCGGCAAACUAUGUGCCAGCAGCCGCGGUGAUACAUAGGGGGCAAGCGUUGUCCGGAAUGACUGGGUGUAAAGGGUGUGUAGGUGGCUUUUUAAGUUAGAGGUGAAAGCCCGGGGCUUAACUCCGGAACUGCCUUUAAAACUGGAUGGCUUGAGUGUGGGAGAGGUUAGUGGAAUUCCUAGUGUAGCGGUGGAAUGCGUAGAUAUUAGGAAGAACAUCAGAGGCGAAGGCGACUAACUGGAACAUUACUGACACUGAAACACGAAAGUGUGGGGAGC